GCCAGGCAUGGUGAUGCAUGCCUGUAUUCCCAGCUACUCAGGAGGCUGAGGUGGGAGGAUUGCUUGAGCCUGGGAGGUGGAGGUUGCAGUGAGCUCAGAUUGUGCCACUGCACUCCAGCCUGGGUGACAAAGUGAGACCCCGUCUCAA
This is an unclassified non-coding RNA of Pongo abelii (Sumatran orangutan), 148 nucleotides long. It matches the Rfam family "Metazoan signal recognition particle RNA". From Rfam's summary of the family: The signal recognition particle (SRP) is a universally conserved ribonucleoprotein. It is involved in the co-translational targeting of proteins to membranes. Lineage: Eukaryota; Metazoa; Chordata; Mammalia; Primates; Hominidae. The record is from Ensembl.